CCUACGGGUGGCAGCAGUGAGGAAUAUUGGUCUAUGGGCGAGAGCCUGAACCAGCCAAGUCGCGUGAGGGAGGACUGCCCUAUGGGUUGUAAACCUCUUUUGUCGGGGAGCAAAAGCCGGACGUGUUCGGCUGUGAGAGUACCCGAAGAAAAAGCAUCGGCUAACUCCGUGCCAGCAGCCGCGUUAAUACGGAGGAUGCGAGCGUUAUCCGGAUUUAUUGGGGUUAAAGGGAGCGCAGGCGGAUUUGUAAGUCAGCGGUAAAAUCGUGGGGCUCAACCCCAUCCAGCCGUUGAUACUGGGGAUCUAGAGUGUGCGAGAGGUAUGCAGAAUUCGUGGUGUAGCGGUGAAAUGCUUAGAUAUCACGAAGAACCCCGAUUGCGAAGGCAGCUUACUAAACUAAGACUGACAUUGAUGCUCGAAAGUGUGGGUAUCAAACAGGAUUAGAUACCCGAGUAGUC
RNAcentral lists this ribosomal RNA (458 nucleotides) under uncultured bacterium. RNAcentral's name for it is "partial 16S ribosomal RNA". It matches the Rfam family "Bacterial small subunit ribosomal RNA", at positions 338 to 795 of the family's 1533-position model. The record is from RNAcentral.